UACGUAGGGGGCGAGCGUUGUCCGGAUUUAUUGGGCGUAAAGAGCGUGUAGGCGGUUCGGUAAGUCUGUCGUGAAAUCCUGAGGCUCAACCUCGGGCGUGCGAUGGAUACUGCCGGGCUAGAGGGUGGUAGAGGCGAGUGGAAUUCCCGGUGUAGCGGUGAAAUGCGCAGAUAUCGGGAGGAACACCGGUGGCGAAGGCGGGUCUCUGGGCCGAUACUGACGCUGAGGAGCGAAAGCGUGGGGAGCGAACAGG
Molecule: ribosomal RNA, 253 nt
Filed under: uncultured bacterium
Lineage: Bacteria
Description: partial 16S ribosomal RNA
Rfam family: Bacterial small subunit ribosomal RNA
Source: RNAcentral